GCCUGGGUGGCUUAGUCGGUUAAGCGUCUGACUUCAACUCAGGUCAUGAUCUCGCGGUUCGUGAGUUCGAGCCCCGCUUCAGGCU
RNAcentral lists this transfer RNA (85 nucleotides) under Felis catus (domestic cat). It matches the Rfam family "tRNA". From Rfam's summary of the family: Transfer RNA (tRNA) molecules are approximately 80 nucleotides in length. Lineage: Eukaryota; Metazoa; Chordata; Mammalia; Carnivora; Felidae. The record is from Rfam by way of RNAcentral.